UCCUCUUCUUCCUCUUCCUCCUCCUCUUUCGCCAUAUAACCGGAUCGGACAAGAGAUUGCGUUCUUCUCCUGCCUGACAGCCGCUCGCCUCCCCCGCCGGCGGCCCUUCCGACGGGACCGGUCGUUGAUGUCCCGCCGUCUCUGCUGAGCCGAGCUUUUGACGAAACAGACAUGGCGGCGGCGCCAUGUGAUCCUCCAUCGGCGUACGGCCAAAUCGUAAAGGAAAAAGCUC
Molecule: long non-coding RNA, 232 nt
Filed under: Spirodela polyrhiza (greater duckweed)
Lineage: Eukaryota; Viridiplantae; Streptophyta; Magnoliopsida; Alismatales; Araceae
Description: long non-coding RNA (SPOL_LNC001741)
Source: RNAcentral